GAUGAACGCUGGCGGCGUGCCUAAUACAUGCAAGUCGAGCGAACAGACGAGGAGCUUGCUCCUCUGACGUUAGCGGCGGGCGGGUGAGUAACACGUGGAUAACCUACCUAUAAGACUGGGAUAACUUCGGGAAACCGUAGCUAAUACCGGAUAAUAUAUUGAACCGCAUGGUUCCAUAGUGAAAGACGGUUUUGCUGUCGCUUAUAGAUGGGUCCGCGCCGCAUUAGCUAGUUGGUAAGGUAACGGCUUACCAAGGCAACGAUGCGUAGCCGGCCUGAGAGGGUGAUCGGCCACACUGGAACUGAGACACGGUCCAGACUCCUACGGGAGGCAGCAGUAGGGAAUCUUCCGCAAUGGGCGAAAGCCUGACGGAGCAACGCCGCGUGAGUGAUGAAGGUCUUCGGAUCGUAAACCUCUGUUAUUAGGGAAGAACAAAUGUGUAAGUAACUAUGCACGUCUUGACGGUACCUAAUCAGAAAGCCACGGCUAACUACGUG
RNAcentral lists this ribosomal RNA (497 nucleotides) under uncultured bacterium. Its description in RNAcentral is "partial 16S ribosomal RNA". It matches the Rfam family "Bacterial small subunit ribosomal RNA", at positions 28 to 507 of the family's 1533-position model. The record is from RNAcentral.